UUUCCGUAGGUGAACCUGCGGAAGGAUCAUUACCAAAACACAUCUUUUCCACAUCGGGUUGGCGCUGCGUGGCCUCCGCGCACGCUACCCCUUUCGACCCUUUCACGGGUGUGAACGCAUUGCUUUUUGCUCCUGUCUCAGAGCCGGGUGGCGCUGCUUCGGCGGCGUUCACGGGCUCGCUUUUUUCCCCAAAACCCUAAACAUCAGCCUGAUUACAAACUCAAAACAACACACAAGAAAUCGCGUACAACUCUUAGCAACGGAUAUCUUGGUUCUC
Molecule: unclassified non-coding RNA, 277 nt
Filed under: soil metagenome
Description: partial contains small subunit ribosomal RNA, internal transcribed spacer 1, and 5.8S ribosomal RNA
Source: RNAcentral